UACGGAGGAUCCGAGCGUUAUCCGGAUUUAUUGGGUUUAAAGGGUGCGCAGGCGGGAGAUUAAGUCGGCGGUGAAAUUUUGCAGCUCAACUGUAAAAGUGCCUUCGAAACUGGUUUCCUUGAGUGUAGAUGAAGUAGGCGGAAUUUGUGGUGUAGCGGUGAAAUGCUUAGAUAUCACGAGGAACUCCGAUUGCGCAGGCAGCUUACUAAACUACUACUGACGCUCAGGCACGAAGGCGUGGGGAUCAAACAGGAUUAGAUACCCCCGUAGUCCCUGA
RNAcentral lists this ribosomal RNA (277 nucleotides) under uncultured prokaryote. Its description in RNAcentral is "partial 16S ribosomal RNA". It matches the Rfam family "Bacterial small subunit ribosomal RNA", at positions 524 to 800 of the family's 1533-position model. The record is from RNAcentral.